Molecule: small nuclear RNA, 109 nt
Organism: Apodemus sylvaticus (European woodmouse)
Lineage: Eukaryota; Metazoa; Chordata; Mammalia; Rodentia; Muridae
Source: RefSeq, a predicted model, not a curated record
UGCUCAGGAAAAGAUACAAAGUGCUAAAAUUGGAAUGAUACAGAGAAGAUAAGCAUGCCCCCCCUUGCACAAGGAUGGUAUACAAAUUCAAAAAGCAUUCAGUAUUAUU